RNAcentral lists this non-coding RNA (45 nucleotides) under Schistosoma mansoni. The record is from RNAcentral. Lineage: Eukaryota; Metazoa; Platyhelminthes; Trematoda; Strigeidida; Schistosomatidae.
AUCCAGCUGACGAGUACCAAAUAGGACGAAACGCGUGUCCUGAAU